AGAGUUUGAUCCUGGCUCAGGAUGAACGCUGGCGGCGUGCUUAACACAUGCAAGUCGAACGGACAGGUAAUGAAACCUAGUGAUUUAUCUGUUAGUGGCGGACGGGUGAGUAACGCGUGGGUAACCUGCCGUAUACAGGGGGAUAACACUUAGAAAUAGGUGCUAAAACCGCAUAAGCGCACAGGAUCGCAUGGUCCGGUGUGAAAAACUCCGGUGGUAUACGAUGGACCCGCGUCUGAUUAGCUUGUUGGCGGGGUAGAGGCCCACCAAGGCGACGAUCAGUAGCCGGCCUGAGAGGGUGAACGGCCACAUUGGGACUGAGACACGGCCCAAACUCCUACGGGAGGCAGCAGUGGGGAAUAUUGCACAAUGGGGGAAACCCUGAUGCAGCGACGCCGCGUGAGUGAAGAAGUAUUUCGGUAUGUAAAGCUCUAUCAGCAGGAAAGAAAAUGACGGUAUCUGACUAAGAAGCCCCGGCUAACUACGUG
Molecule: ribosomal RNA, 488 nt
Filed under: uncultured Lachnospiraceae bacterium
Lineage: Bacteria; Bacillati; Bacillota; Clostridia; Lachnospirales; Lachnospiraceae
Description: bacterial SSU rRNA
Rfam family: Bacterial small subunit ribosomal RNA
Source: RNAcentral